GGAGGCGUGCCGGAGCGGCUUAACGGAACGGUUUGCUAAACCGUCGGCGUCUAAAAAACGUCACAGAGGUUCGAAUCCUCUCGCCUCCG
This 89-nucleotide transfer RNA is filed under the name bacterium. RNAcentral describes it as "tRNA-Ser". It matches the Rfam family "tRNA". From Rfam's summary of the family: Transfer RNA (tRNA) molecules are approximately 80 nucleotides in length. Their secondary structure includes four short double-helical elements and three loops (D, anti-codon, and T loops). The record is from RNAcentral.